ACUUUCUCUGUGUCUGGAUAACUUUGGCACUUUCUCUCACCAGUAAGCUAGCUUUACAGUGUUAAGAAUUGUGAUGAUCUGCUUACUAGAUUUCUAUAGCACCUUCCCUUCUCUCUCAGCAAUUUUACAUUAAUAUUAAUACUAUGGGGGGAAGGAGCCUGCUUUCCAAGAGCUGAAGUUCUUCAGCUGAUCCAUCCCAGCCACAGUGUUUCUCAUUUCCAUGUCUCAGCCCCCACGCCUGUAAUGCUCAUCUACCAUCUUUGCCUGGUUAACUGCUAGCCUCAAACAUCACCUCCUCCAUAAUGUUAACAGCCUGUACUAUAUG
This 325-nucleotide long non-coding RNA is filed under the name Bos taurus (domestic cattle). Its description in RNAcentral is "long non-coding RNA NONBTAT017819". Lineage: Eukaryota; Metazoa; Chordata; Mammalia; Artiodactyla; Bovidae. The record is from RNAcentral.